Molecule: ribosomal RNA, 595 nt
Filed under: uncultured Steroidobacter sp.
Lineage: Bacteria; Pseudomonadati; Pseudomonadota; Gammaproteobacteria; Steroidobacterales; Steroidobacteraceae
Description: bacterial SSU rRNA
Rfam family: Bacterial small subunit ribosomal RNA
Source: RNAcentral
AGAGUCACUCCUACGGGAGGCAGCAGUGGGGAAUAUUGGACAAUGGGCGAAAGCCUGAUCCAGCGACGCCGCGUGGGUGAAGAAGGCCUGCGGGUUGUAAAGCCCUUUCGGUGGGGAAGAAAAGCCUCGAGCUAACACCUCGGGGUCUUGACGUAACCCAUAGAAGAAGCACCGGCUAACUCUGUGCCAGCAGCCGCGGUAAUACAGAGGGUGCUAGCGUUGUUCGGAAUUACUGGGCGUAAAGAGCGCGUAGGCGGGAUGGCAAGUCGGUCGUGAAAUCCUUCGGCUCAACCGAAGAACGUCGGCCGAUACUGCCGUUCUUGAGGGAUGCAGAGGAGAUUGGAAUUCCCGGUGUAGCGGUGAAAUGUGUAGAGAUCGGGAGGAACACCGGUGGCGAAGGCGGGUCUCUGGGUCAAUACUGACGCUCAUGCACGAAAGCGUGGGGAGCAAACAGGAUUAGAUACCCUGGUAGUCCUAGCCCUAAACGAUGGAUACUUGCUGUGACUGGGAUUGAAUCCAGUCGUGGCGAAGCUAACGCAUUAAGUAUCCCGCCUGGGGAGUACGGUCGCAAGGCUGAAACUUAAAGGAAUUGACG